RNAcentral lists this signal recognition particle RNA (98 nucleotides) under Rhodospirillales bacterium. RNAcentral's name for it is "signal recognition particle sRNA small type". It matches the Rfam family "Bacterial small signal recognition particle RNA". From Rfam's summary of the family: The signal recognition particle (SRP) is a universally conserved ribonucleoprotein involved in the co-translational targeting of proteins to membranes. Archaeal SRP consists of a 7S RNA and homologues of the eukaryotic SRP19 and SRP54 proteins. Lineage: Bacteria; Pseudomonadati; Pseudomonadota; Alphaproteobacteria; Rhodospirillales. The record is from RNAcentral.
GGGAGAUCGGCCCGGACGGGCUUCUCGCCAACCCGGUCAGGUCCGGAAGGAAGCAGCCGUAACGAGUUUCGGCCCGGGUCGGUGUCCGGUCUCCCGCU